AGCGAUGGAGUUGAUUGAUCAGCUAGAAAGGACAAGGCGAGGGCCGUAUAGUGGUGGAUUUGGAGGAAUUUCAUUUUCUGGUGACAUGGAUGUUGCACUAGCUCUCAGAACUAUUGUAUUUCCUACUAGCACCCGUUAUGAUACAAUGUAUUCAUACGAUGAUCUAAACAAGCGGCGAGAAUGGGUUGCCCACCUCCAAGCUGGGGCUGGAAUUGUGGCCGAUAGUGAUCCUGCUGAUGAGCAGAGAGAGUGUGAGAACAAAGCUGCAGGCCUCGCUCGUGCCAUUGAUCUUGCAGAAGAAUCAUUUGUCAAGAAAUGAUUAAAUGUCAUGGAGUCUUUUUUGUUGUUGUCGUUG
This 355-nucleotide unclassified non-coding RNA is filed under the name Hevea brasiliensis (rubber tree). The record is from RNAcentral. Lineage: Eukaryota; Viridiplantae; Streptophyta; Magnoliopsida; Malpighiales; Euphorbiaceae.